RNAcentral lists this ribosomal RNA (801 nucleotides) under Pseudomonas sp. D102-B12. RNAcentral describes it as "bacterial SSU rRNA". It matches the Rfam family "Bacterial small subunit ribosomal RNA", at positions 28 to 821 of the family's 1533-position model. The record is from RNAcentral. Lineage: Bacteria; Pseudomonadati; Pseudomonadota; Gammaproteobacteria; Pseudomonadales; Pseudomonadaceae.
AUGACGUCAUGCGCGGCAGGCCUAACACAUGCAAGUCGAGCGGUAGAAGGAAGCUUGCUUCCUUUGAGAGCGGCGGACGGGUGAGUAAUGCCUAGGAAUCUGCCUGGUAGUGGGGGAUAACGUUCGGAAACGGACGCUAAUACCGCAUACGUCCUACGGGAGAAAGCAGGGGACCUUCGGGCCUUGCGCUAUCAGAUGAGCCUAGGUCGGAUUAGCUUGUUGGUGGGGUAAUGGCUCACCAAGGCAACGAUCCGUAACUGGUCUGAGAGGAUGAUCAGUCACACUGGAACUGAGACACGGUCCAGACUCCUACGGGAGGCAGCAGUGGGGAAUAUUGGACAAUGGGCGAAAGCCUGAUCCAGCCAUGCCGCGUGUGUGAAGAAGGUCUUCGGAUUGUAAAGCACUUUAAGUUGGGAGGAAGGGUUGUAGUUUAAUACGCUGCAACUUUGACGUUACCGACAGAAUAAGCACCGGCUAACUCUGUGCCAGCAGCCGCGGUAAUACAGAGGGUGCAAGCGUUAAUCGGAAUUACUGGGCGUAAAGCGCGCGUAGGUGGCAAAGUAAGAUGGGUGUGAAAUCCCCGGGCUCAACCUGGGAACUGCAUCCAUAACUGCUUCGCUAGAGUACGGUAGAGGGUAGUGGAAUUUCCUGUGUAGCGGUGAAAUGCGUAGAUAUAGGAAGGAACACCAGUGGGCGAAGGCGACUACCCUGGACUGAUACUGACACUGAGGUGCGAAAGCGUGGGGAGCAAACAGGAAUAGAUACCCUGGUAGUUCACGCCGUAAACGAUGUCACCUAGCC